Molecule: ribosomal RNA, 253 nt
Filed under: uncultured bacterium
Lineage: Bacteria
Description: partial 16S ribosomal RNA
Rfam family: Bacterial small subunit ribosomal RNA
Source: RNAcentral
UACGAAGGGUGCAAGCGUUACUCGGAAUUACUGGGCGUAAAGCGUGCGUAGGCGGUUUGUUAAGUCUGUCGUGAAAGCCCCGGGCUCAACCUGGGAAUGGCGAUGGAUACUGGCGAGCUAGAGUACGGUAGAGGAGAGUGGAAUUCCCGGUGUAGCAGUGAAAUGCGCAGAUAUCAGGAGGAACACCGGUGGCGAAGGCGGUUCUCUGGGCCUUACCUGACGCUGAGGAGCGAAAGCGUGGGGAGCAAACAGG